Long non-coding RNA from Pieris napi, 235 nucleotides. RefSeq lists it as uncharacterized. The record is from RefSeq and is a predicted model, not a curated record. The transcript has 3 exons. NCBI's taxonomy places the organism in Eukaryota, Metazoa, Arthropoda, Insecta, Lepidoptera, Pieridae.
ACUUCGUAACAAAAACGUUCCGGUAAGUGGACCGAUGAUUAAAGAAAAGGCACAAGAUUUCGCGCGAAGGCUCGAUAUUCAUAAUUUUUAAUGGAACCCUCUGUAAAUGAGACAGAUAUUUAUUUAUACCUGUAUAUCUGAGACACUGGGUAAGUGGAAUACCUCUAUAAGUGAAACGACAUUGCAGGUCCCUUGAUGUCUCACUUAACCAGGUUUCACUGUAAUAGAUAAAUAA